GAGCGAACGCUGGCGGCAGGCCUAACACAUGCAAGUCGAACGGCUCUUCGGAGCAGUGGCGGACGGGUGAGUAACGCGUGGGAAUGUGCCCUUUGGUACGGAACAACUGAGGGAAACUUCAGCUAAUACCGUAUGUGCCCUACGGGGGAAAGAUUUAUCGCCAUUGGAGCAGCCCGCGUUGGAUUAGGUAGUUGGUGGGGUAAUGGCCCACCAAGCCGACGAUCCAUAGCUGGUCUGAGAGGAUGAUCAGCCACACUGGGACUGAGACACGGCCCAGACUCCUACGGGAGGCAGCAGUGGGGAAUCUUGCGCAAUGGGCGAAAGCCUGACGCAGCCAUGCCGCGUGUAUGAUGAAGGUCUUAGGAUUGUAAAAUACUUUCACCGGGGAAGAUAAUGACGGUACCCGGAGAAGAAGCCCCGGCUAACUUCGU
RNAcentral lists this ribosomal RNA (431 nucleotides) under Caulobacteraceae bacterium 'ARUP UnID 527'. Its description in RNAcentral is "bacterial SSU rRNA". It matches the Rfam family "Bacterial small subunit ribosomal RNA", at positions 27 to 506 of the family's 1533-position model. Lineage: Bacteria; Pseudomonadati; Pseudomonadota; Alphaproteobacteria; Caulobacterales; Caulobacteraceae. The record is from RNAcentral.